RNA transcript from Cryptomeria japonica (Japanese cedar), 2057 nucleotides. RefSeq lists it as uncharacterized. Lineage: Eukaryota; Viridiplantae; Streptophyta; Pinopsida; Cupressales; Cupressaceae. The record is from RefSeq and is a predicted model, not a curated record. The transcript has 7 exons.
UUCAAAUGAAACAUACAACGGUAAUGAAAAUUCAAAUGGCAUGGAGCGGGGAAAAGCAUGUGAAGUUGACAUUAUAAUCCUUGGCAUUUUUAAGGCAAGAGUUUGUCUAGUUCAAUUACAUCACAGACCCUCCACAAAUCAUCUUUCUUCAUCUUCUGGAGCUUGUCCUUCAAUUUCAAUUUUCCCAAACUCUGAAAACUGCAAAACAUCCCUCUUAAAAUGAUAAGCAUUUCCGCGCCUUCCAUAAAGAAGAUCGUGAAUGAUUUCCAGCAUUUCAUUACCUCUGGUGAAUUUAUAUGCCACAUUUGAAAUGUUCUUAAGCUGUGUGCCUUUGCCCUGUUCAAUGAUGAAUUCUCUGGGGCUAUCCCUAAUGGUGGAAAUGAUGAAUUCUCUGGGGCUAUCCCUAAUGGUGGAAGGAUCAAAGGUUUUUGCAGGCUUCUUUUCUCUCACAGGCCUAUCCAGCGGAGUAGUAGGCUUUGAAAGUAAAUCCUCGGUUUUCUCUUCUCUGAAUUCUUCAGCCAUGUCGAGAUUCGAACCUGUGAAGGCUCAAACCCUGGAAUUAAAUACCUCUUGUAGCUUCGUUCAACGAAUCGGCAUCAAAUAUGGACAUACAUGUUCGAAUUUAAAAUUUAUGAAGAGGCAAAACAAAGGAUCAGAAAAUAGCAACCGAAUGAAAUCAAAUUUCCUCUUCCAGAGUUGACAGGAAAUUGACAUUUUCUUCAUACUUCCAUUCGUACUCAGAAUAUUUACACAGUUAUUUUUACCUGAUCUUGCAAAUUAUGGAGCCACAAAGUAAUUUGGGCCGAACAUAUCCAUGAAUCUCAUCAAGGUGGGUAUCAAUGGCCAUUCUAGAACAAUUGAACAAUGGAAGCAGAUGGGAGAUGCAGAGAAAAGGGUAGUAGUUAAUUCAGAAAUAAAGUGAAUUACGGAGGGAAUAGUACUUAUGCAACAGAUUGCCUUCGGGUUUGAACAAAGUCUUACAACUUAUGUCCAGUCGGAUGACACCUUAACUGCUAUUCAGACACUGAUUUCUACUAGCUCAUAUGGAAUUAUGCAUUCCUUGAUUGGAGGAAAACCUCUGUUGAUUCUUGGAGUUGCAAUCCCACAACUCUUAUGUAUACAUAUAUGUAUAUCUUUGCAAAAGACAGGGGUGAUUUGGGACAAAGAUUGUUUCUUACAUGGAUAGGAUCGUAAAUAUGAAUAGUCACAGUAUUAGAGAAUUCAUAUAGCGAGCACUAUAUAUUGUUUCCUUUGUAUUUUGAUACAUGUAAUGGGAUCUAGAAGAUGGUCAUAUAGUGUAUUAUUUUAAGGGAGAAAGUAUUUUGUAAAACCUUUAUUGAUGGAAGGCAUUUUGUGUAGGGCUUGUGUGUGGACAACACUGCUGCUAUUUGUUUUUGCAAUUUUCAGUUCCUGCACAAUCAUCAAUACGUUUAAAAGAUUAGCCGGAGAGGUCUUUGGCAUGUUAAUUGUUGUAUUAUUUCUGCAAGAAGCUAUCAAGGUUAUGGUAGAAGAAUUUUGCAUACUCGAAAACGGUGAUCCCAAUCAUGAGCAACUGAAAUAUCCAUGGUGUUUCUCAAACAACCUAUUUGGGAUUGUUUUGUCUUUUGACCUACUGUUCACAUCAUUGAAAAGAAGAUGAGCUCGAUCAUCUAGAUAUGACACAGGUAUUCAGCAAAUGUUGGGAUUACAGUUGCAGUUGCAAGCUACAGUAGGUAAUGGCAAGUGUUGUUAGGAAUGCUGAAGGAGAGGAGAAAACUUUGCAUUGGAUCUAAGUUCUUUGGCAUAAUAUACUGGACUAGGAGGUAACAACAAUGCUAAUAUUGGAGAUAGCUCUAAAUAGUAUAAAUUUCUGUAAGAAUUCCAAACUUGAAUCUUACAUUUAAAACUAGUAGUAAUCUAAACCUAUAGAUUCAGGAGAAAAUCUUUAAGUUCAAUGCAUAGUAGCAUUCCAUUUACAUGCCAUUCAGAGAGCAAAUUGAAAUUGUGAAUAAAAUACAGUAAAUAUGUAUUACUAUCCUGUAAAUUUUAUUGACAAAACUAAUUAUGAACAUUGUUUA